GGCGAGUGAAGCGGCAAAAGCUCAAAUUUGAAAUCUAGCACCUUCGGUGUUCGAGUUGUAAUUUGAAGAUGGUAACCUUGGGUUUGGCUCUUGUCUAUGUUCCUUGGAACAGGACGUCAUAGAGGGUGAGAAUCCCGUCUGAUGAGAUGCCCAUUCCUAUGUAAGGUGCUAUCGAAGAGUCGAGUUGUUUGGGAAUGCAGCUCUAAGUGGGUGGUAAAUUCCAUCUAAAGCUAAAUAUUGGCGAGAGACCGAUAGCGAACAAGUACAGUGAUGGAAAGAUGAAAAGAACUUUGAAAAGAGAGUGAAAAAGUACGUGAAAUUGUUGAAAGGGAAGGGCAUUAGAUCAGACUUGGUGUUUUACGAUUAUCUUCUCUUCUUGAGUUGUGCACUCGUAUUUCACUGGGCCAGCAUCGAUUCGGAUGGCAAGAUAAUGGCAGUUGAAUGUGGCUUCACUUCGGUGGAGUGUUAUAGCUUCUGCUGAUAUUGCCUGUCUGGAUCGAGGGCUGCGUCUUUUGACUAGGAUGCUGGCGUAAUGAUCUAAUGCCGCCCGUCUA
This 554-nucleotide ribosomal RNA is filed under the name Hansenula anomala. Its description in RNAcentral is "eukaryotic LSU rRNA". It matches the Rfam family "Eukaryotic large subunit ribosomal RNA", at positions 88 to 655 of the family's 3401-position model. Lineage: Eukaryota; Fungi; Ascomycota; Saccharomycetes; Phaffomycetales; Wickerhamomycetaceae. The record is from RNAcentral.